UACAGAGGGUGCAAGCGUUAAUCGGAAUUACUGGGCGUAAAGCGCACGUAGGUGGGUUUGUAAGUUGUUGGUGAAAAGCUUGGGCAUUAACCUGGGGUCUUGUCCGAGCAAAACAGCAAGUCUAGAGUGUAUUAGAGGGAAGUGGAAUUUCCGGUGUAGCAGUGAAAUGCGUAGAUAUCGGAAGGAACACCAGUGGCGAAGGCGACUUCCUGGAAUACUACUGACACUGAGGUGCGAAAGCGUGGGGAGCAAAC
RNAcentral lists this ribosomal RNA (254 nucleotides) under uncultured bacterium. RNAcentral's name for it is "partial 16S ribosomal RNA". It matches the Rfam family "Bacterial small subunit ribosomal RNA", at positions 524 to 773 of the family's 1533-position model. The record is from RNAcentral.